GACGAACGCUGGCGGCGUGCCUAAUACAUGCAAGUAGAACGCUGAAGGAGGAGCUUGCUUCUCUGGAUGAGUUGCGAACGGGUGAGUAACGCGUAGGUAACCUGCCUGGUAGCGGGGGAUAACUAUUGGAAACGAUAGCUAAUACCGCAUAAGAGUAGAUGUUGCAUGACAUUUGCUUAAAAGGUGCACUUGCAUCACUACCAGAUGGACCUGCGUUGUAUUAGCUAGUUGGUGGGGUAACGGCUCACCAAGGCGACGAUACAUAGCCGACCUGAGAGGGUGAUCGGCCACACUGGGACUGAGACACGGCCCAGACUCCUACGGGAGGCAGCAGUAGGGAAUCUUCGGCAAUGGACGGAAGUCUGACCGAGCAACGCCGCGUGAGUGAAGAAGGUUUUCGGAUCGUAAAGCUCUGUUGUAAGAGAAGAACGAGUGUGAGAGUGGAAAGUUCACACUGUGACGGUAUCUUACCAGAAAGGGACGGCUAACUACGUGCCAGCAGCCGCGGUAAUACGUAGGUCCCGAGCGUUGUCCGGAUUUAUUGGGCGUAAAGCGAGCGCAGGCGGUUAGAUAAGUCUGAAGUUAAAGGCUGUGGCUUACCCGUAGUAGGCUUUGGAAACUGUUUAACUUGAGUGCCAGAGGGGAGAGUGGGAUUCCAUGUGUAGCGGUGAAAUGCGUAGAUAUAUGGAAGAACACCGGUGGCGAAAGCGGCUCUCUGGCUUGUAACUGACGCUGAAGCUCGAAAGCGUGGGGAGCAACCAGGAUUAGAUACCCUGGUAGUCCACGCUGUAAACGAUGAGUACUAGGUGUUAGACCCUUUCCGGGGUUUAGUGCCGUAGCUAACGCAUUAAGCACUCCGCCCGGGGAGUACGACCGCAAGGUUGAAACUCAAAGGAAUUGACGGGGGCCCGCACAAGCGGUGGAGCAUGUGGUUAAUCCGAAGCAACGCGAAGAACCUUACCAGAUCUUGACAUCCCUCUGACCGCUCUAGAGAUAGAGUUUUCCUUCGGGACAGAGGUGACAGGUGGUGCAUGGUUGUCGUCAGCUCGUGUCGUGAGAUGUUGGGUUAAGUCCCGCAACGAGCGCAACCCCUAUUGUUAGUUGCCAUCAUUCAGUUGGGCACUCUAGCGAGACUGCCGGUAAUAAACCGGAGGAAGGUGGGGAUGACGUCAAAUCAUCAUGCCCCUUAUGACCUGGGCUACACACGUGCUACAAUGGCUGGUACAACGAGUCGCAAGCCGGUGACGGCAAGCUAAUCUCUUAAAGCCAGUCUCAGUUCGGAUUGUAGGCUGCAACUCGCCUACAUGAAGUCGGAAUCGCUAGUAAUCGCGGAUCAGCACGCCGCGGUGAAUACGUUCCCGGGCCU
Molecule: ribosomal RNA, 1366 nt
Filed under: uncultured bacterium
Lineage: Bacteria
Description: bacterial SSU rRNA
Rfam family: Bacterial small subunit ribosomal RNA
Source: RNAcentral